Molecule: ribosomal RNA, 319 nt
Filed under: uncultured Bacteroidota bacterium
Lineage: Bacteria; Pseudomonadati; Bacteroidota
Description: bacterial SSU rRNA
Rfam family: Bacterial small subunit ribosomal RNA
Source: RNAcentral
GAUGAACGCUAGCGGCAGGCUUAACACAUGCAAGUCGAGGGGUAUAGGUUUUCGGACCUAGAGACCGGCGCACGGGUGCGUAACGCGUAUGCAAUCUACCUUUUACAGCGGGAUAGCCCAGAGAAAUUUGGAUUAAUACCUCAUAGUAUGCAGAGUUGGCAUCAACACUGCAUUAAAGUCACAACGGUAAAGAUGAGCAUGCGUCCCAUUAGCUAGUUGGUAAGGUAACGGCUUACCAAGGCGACGAUGGGUAGGGGUCCUGAGAGGGAGAUCCCCCACACUGGUACUGAGACACGGACCAGACUCCUACGGGAGGCAG